AUCUUUUCUCGGCCUUUUGGCUAAGAUCAAGAGUAGUGUGUGUUUAUUAGCUUAAUAUCUGAUACGUAGGCUAAUGGCUCAUAUGAUAUUAAAUUUAUUUUUGAGGGAUCAAGCUUAAAUUCGAGCUUUAUUCGAGUUCCAAUUCGAGUUUGAGUCUCGAGCUUCAAUCGAGCUCUUAAAUUGUUUUUUGAGUUCGAGCU
This is a small nuclear RNA of Hibiscus syriacus, 200 nucleotides long. RefSeq annotates it as U2 spliceosomal RNA. The record is from RefSeq and is a predicted model, not a curated record. NCBI's taxonomy places the organism in Eukaryota, Viridiplantae, Streptophyta, Magnoliopsida, Malvales, Malvaceae. The transcript has a single exon.